UGGUGGAGUGGUUUGUCUGGUUAAUUCCGUUAACGAACGAGACCUCGACCUGCUAAAUGGUUCGACGAAUUCUUCGGAAUUCGUAUGUGACUUCUUAGAGGGACUAUCGGUGGUUAGCCGAUGGAAGUUCGAGGCAAUAACA
This 142-nucleotide ribosomal RNA is filed under the name uncultured eukaryote. Its description in RNAcentral is "partial 18S ribosomal RNA". It matches the Rfam family "Eukaryotic small subunit ribosomal RNA", at positions 1299 to 1458 of the family's 1831-position model. The record is from RNAcentral.